GUGGGGAAUAUUGGACAAUGGGCGAAAGCCUGAUCCAGCCAUGCCGCGUGUGUGAAGAAGGUCUUCGGAUUGUAAAGCACUUUAAGUUGGGAGGAAGGGCAGUAAGUUAAUACCUUGCUGUUUUGACGUUACCGACAGAAUAAGCACCGGCUAACUUCGUGCCAGCAGCCGCGGUAAUACGAAGGGUGCAAGCGUUAAUCGGAAUUACUGGGCGUAAAGCGCGCGUAGGUGGUUUUGUAAGUUGGAGGUGAAAUCCCCGGGCUCAACCUGGGAACUGCUUUCAAAACUGCUGAGCUAGAGUACGGUAGAGGGUGGUGGAAUUUCCUGUGUAGCGGUGAAAUGCGUAGAUAUAGGAAGGAACACCAGUGGCGAAGGCGACCACCUGGACUGAUACUGACACUGAGGUGCGAAAGCGUGGGGAGCAAACAGGAUUAGAUACCCGAGAGUCC
RNAcentral lists this ribosomal RNA (449 nucleotides) under uncultured bacterium. RNAcentral's name for it is "partial 16S ribosomal RNA". It matches the Rfam family "Bacterial small subunit ribosomal RNA", at positions 354 to 796 of the family's 1533-position model. The record is from RNAcentral.